RNAcentral lists this ribosomal RNA (468 nucleotides) under uncultured bacterium. Its description in RNAcentral is "partial 16S ribosomal RNA". It matches the Rfam family "Bacterial small subunit ribosomal RNA", at positions 28 to 507 of the family's 1533-position model. The record is from RNAcentral.
GACGAACGCUGGCGGCGUGCUUAACACAUGUAAGUCGAACGGAAAGGCCCUGCUUUUGUGGGGUGCUCGAGUGGCGAACGGGUGAGUAACACGUGAGUAACCUGCCCUUGACUUUGGGAUAACUUCAGGAAACUGGGGCUAAUACCGGAUAGGAGCUCCUGCUGCAUGGUGGGGGUUGGAAAGUUUCGGCGGUUGGGGAUGGACUCGCGGCUUAUCAGCUUGUUGGUGGGGUAGUGGCUUACCAAGGCUUUGACGGGUAGCCGGCCUGAGAGGGUGACCGGCCACAUUGGGACUGAGAUGCGGCCCAGACUCCUACGGGAGGCAGCAGUGGGGAAUAUUGCACAAUGGGCGGAAGCCUGAUGCAGCAACGCCGCGUGCGGGAUGACGGCCUUCGGGUUGUAAACCGCUUUCGCCUGUGACGAAGCGUGAGUGACGGUAAUGGGUAAAGAAGCACCGGCUAACUACGUG